UCUGCACCGUGCAUGCAGGUGGGGCGGCGCGGAUCUGCACGGUGCAUGCAGGCGGUGCUGCGGGGCUGCAGGGUGCAUGCAUCGGGGCUGCAGGGCUGCAAGGUGCAUGCAGCGGUGCUGCGGGGCUGCAGGGUGCAUGCAUCGGGGCUGCAAGGUGCAUGCAUUGGUGCUGUGCACGUCUGCAUCGUGCGUGCAUCGGGGCUGCAAGGUGCAUGCACUUGCAUCAGGGCUGCAGAGCUGCAAGGUGCGUGCAUUGGUGCCGUGCACGUCUGCAUCGUGCACGCAUCAGGGCUGCAGAGCUGCAAGGUGCGUGCACUGGUGCUGUGCACGUCUGCAUCGUGUGCAUUGGUGCUGUGCAGACCUGCACUGUGUGUGCUCUGGUGCUGCAAAUACGCAAGGUGUGUUCGCUGGUGCUGUGCAGACCUGCGCUGUGCGUGCAUCAGGGCUGCAAGGUG
This 455-nucleotide long non-coding RNA is filed under the name Anser cygnoides (Swan goose). RNAcentral's name for it is "lncRNA (ENSACDG00005008834.1)". Lineage: Eukaryota; Metazoa; Chordata; Aves; Anseriformes; Anatidae. The record is from RNAcentral.